CCUACGGGUGGCAGCAGUGAGGAAUAUUGGUCAAUGGCCGGAAGUCUGAACCAGCCAUGCCGCGUGAAGGUCAGUGCCCUAUGGGCGUUAAACUUCUUUUGUGCGGGAGCAAUAAUGGUCACGUGUGGCCAGACGAGAGUACCGUACGAAUACGCAUCGGCUAACUCCGGGCCAGCAGCCGCGGUAAUACGGGGGAUGCAAGCGUUAUCCGGAGUUAUUGGGUUUAAAGGGUGCGUAGGCUGGGAGGUAAGUCAGCGGUGAAAUGCCCCCGCGCAACGGGGUGAAGUGCCAUUGAUACUGGCUGGCUGGAAUGCGGAUGACGUGGGAGGAAUGUGUGGUGUAGCGGUGAAAUGCAUAGAUAUCACAAAGAACACCGAUUGCGAAGGCAUCUCACGAAUCCGCGAUUGACGCUGAUGCACGAAAGCGUGGGUAUCAAACAGUAUUAGAUACCCCAGUAGUC
Molecule: ribosomal RNA, 460 nt
Filed under: uncultured bacterium
Lineage: Bacteria
Description: partial 16S ribosomal RNA
Rfam family: Bacterial small subunit ribosomal RNA
Source: RNAcentral